This 581-nucleotide small RNA is filed under the name Pan troglodytes (chimpanzee). RNAcentral describes it as "retained intron". The record is from RNAcentral. Lineage: Eukaryota; Metazoa; Chordata; Mammalia; Primates; Hominidae.
UGUCUACUUUUGCAAACUGAAAGAAAAGGAUAGUAACUUUGAGUCUUAUAUUUGCAGACUGUUGCUUAUAGGUAAUAUCUAUUUUUAAUUACAGCAGACAGUGAGCAAGCUGACAUUGCGAGGAUGCUAUAUAAAGACACAUGUCAUGAGCUGGAUGAACUGCAGCUUUGCAAGAAUUGCUUUUACUUGUCAAAUGCUCGUCCUGACAACUGGUUCUGUUAUCCUUGUAUACCUAAUCAUGAACUGGUUUGGGCUAAAAUGAAAGGUUUUGGGUUUUGGCCAGCCAAAGUCAUGCAGAAAGAAGACAAUCAAGUCGACGUUCGCUUCUUUGGCCACCACCACCAGAGGGCCUGGAUUCCUUCUGAAAACAUUCAAGAUAUCACAGUCAACAUUCAUCGGCUGCACGUGAAGCGCAGUAUGGGUUGGAAAAAGGCCUGUGAUGAGCUGGAGCUGCAUCAGCGUUUCCUACGAGAAGGGAGAUUUUGGAAAUCUAAGAAUGAGGACCGAGGUGAGGAAGAGGCAGAAUCCAGUAUCUCCUCCACCAGUAAUGAGCAGGUGAGUGCGUCUCAGGAAGGAAGUGC